Molecule: unclassified non-coding RNA, 3489 nt
Filed under: Leishmania donovani
Lineage: Eukaryota; Euglenozoa; Kinetoplastea; Trypanosomatida; Trypanosomatidae
Description: gene:LdHU3.26.1060(CDS-product:hypothetical_prote in_conserved)
Source: RNAcentral
AGGAGCGCUCAUCCUUGUACUGACAUCAAUACUGACGCAAGCAGAGAAACGCGCGCGCGCACACACACACACGCAUAUACACAGACACACGCAGUAGCUGCGUGUGCGAAGACAGACAUCUGACUGCCCUUAUGUCCCACCUCACCUCCUCCACCGCUGCAGAGGCCGGGCCGGGGAGCGCCACUGGAGCAGGCCACACGGUGCCGCCACCAGCCUCGACGGCAGCGUGUGUCGCUUCUCAACAGUCGACAGCGACGGCGAAGCCACCGGCGCCGGUGGUGCGUCGCGGCCGUGGCACCUUCAAGCAUCAGCUUCGCACUGAAGAGAUGGAGCGGCAGUACGCCUCUGGAUCGGCGGCGGCAGCAGCUGCAGCCGCUGCUGCCCUCGGGCGCGCCGAGGAAGCGAGUACCAUCUUCACCGCAGCCACGACACAUGUUGUACUGCCGUCGUCGACGCUGGGCUCGAAGGCUACCAAGCCGGUGACCGAGGAGGAGGAGAUCGCGGCGCAGUUCGCGCACCUAAAGAAAGGCAAGGACAUUCCUCUCAACAUGAUGGUAGGGCAGGUGGUAAGCAGCGCCGUCGCUGCCACAAGCACUGGCAGUCCGAUGUCCGUAACCGCUCGGCUUGCGGCAGCGGCGGAGGCUCGUGCAGCCGCACCACGCACGCACUUUGGCAUCUUCGAGAACAACGCAAACGACACUGCACGCCAGCUGCUCUUCCGUGGCGAGAAGCGGCGGCGCUACUGUGUCAUCGUCGGUGACCUGCAAAACAGCACUCGCCAAGUGACGCUGAAGCUCUUUGGUCACAAGGGCGCCAAACCGUUCAAGCUGCAGAACAAGCUGAUUCGUCUGGUGAACUUGUCCAUCGGCAAGCCGCGGCGCGGAACGCUGCAGUGGCGCGUGGCUCACGGGCUCCUGGAUGACGAUGACGUGGAGGGGCAGCAACCGGUGGAGGAGCAGCGCACGGAUAGCGACGAAGAGGAGGAGCAGCCGUGUGAGCAGGACGAAAGUGCUGCGGACAGCGACGCGGUGAGCGCCGUCGACGACGACGGCAAUGGCAUGGGCAGAGACGGCGAGGAUGUCGCUGCUGCUGCUACGACGGACGGAAAUUGCGGCAACGGCGGUGCAACUCCGACGACAGAGGCGCAAGGCCGCGAGGCGGCAUGUGCCACGCCCGCAGCCGCCUUGAGCGCGCUCAACGGCUACACCCCGCUUCCGCAGGCGAUGGACUCCACACAGACGGCCGCAGAGCGCGCCUUUCAGAAUCAGACGCACGCGGCGGCCGGCUUCGACGUGGAGGAGAUCGUCCCCUUCUCUUCUUCCUCCUCCUGCGAGGGCGACGACAGCGAGGCACGCCACGAGGCGCGACAACGCAAGUCCAUCGCGUUGGCGGAGGCAGCGAGUGCUAUCGAGCGCGCCGCCGCAGCGGUGCCGAUUCCAGAAAGUGACAGCGAUGUCGAUGACGAGGAUAAAGGGGUGAAGGUGAUUGCCGCCCCAACCCCUCUUGGCGGCGGAGGCCCUCGCGUCCUGGCGUCUCCGCUUGCUUUGUCCUCGGAUGUCGUGGAGACGCGUGCCACAACGGAUGGCAAUCGUGAUGCUGGCGACGCACCGGCCGCCGCAACACAUGCGGACCCCAUUGCACCAGCGCCUGCUGCGACCUCCGCUGAGGUUGCUGCGACGGCAGUGAAACGCCAUGCUGGCAGCCUCGACCACCAAUCAAAGGGCGCCGAGGCGGAGGGCGAGGAUGUGGACCACUACUUGGAUAACGACGACGAGGUGGUGCCCCUCACGGUGCAGCAGGCAGGCACAGGAGCCACCGUCAUGUACGAGACGAGCCUCGCCAACAGCCCGGUGUUGACGGCGAAGCGCUUCGCCUCACUGCGCGACUACUUCCUGCGCGAGUUCCGAUUCCUGCUCAGUCUCGAGGAUGUCCGCUCGCAGAACGUGUCGGUGAAGAUAAACCUCGGCGCUGCCUACUGCUGCCUCGCCCGCCAGGGCUCCUACUCCACUCCGCUGAAGCACGCCACCUUUGGUGAGUUUGUCGAGCGCAUGAACACGGAGUCGAUGCAGCUGUAUUUCAUCAAGGACUGCCCUGCCUGCGUGUCGCGGGCGGUGGACAUGGAGAGCGGCUCGCUGCACUUCCCGGCCAGCUCGACGACGGUGAAGAUCAACUUCUUCUCGAACGAGCGCCAGAGUCGCUCCAUCGCGAGGGCGGUGUGGGACAGCGAUGCGGACCAGUUCCGCCUGCUCGAUGUCGAGAACAUCGGCGUCACCUUCAACUGGUCCGUCUUCUCUCUCGACGAGACGUUUGUGCGCCGCAAGAACGAGGUGCAGGCAGCGGCGGCGGAGGGCAGUUGUAUUGGCAGCGCGAGCGCUCCCGGUACGGCAAUCGUCAGUCCGAGUGCUGCGCCUGCGCCAGCGCCGGCUGUUGGGGCAGGAAGCGCUUCUGCAGCUGCGACAGAGGCACCUCUGCUGCCCCCAGUGCCCGCGGCAAACAAGGUAUGGGUGGGACCCGCCCCUGUCGGCAUCGGUGUGGAUCCUGACCGUCUCUUUCAAAAUACGAGCGUGCUAGAGGCGAAGGAGGCGGGCACAGCGGACGAGGCAAGUGCGGAAACGGUAGCGCCGGCGGCAGAGGAGGCGAAGAGCUCCUACAAGACUCCCAUCGACGAUGAAGAGGAUGACCUGGCGCGUAACAAGACUGUUGCUUACCCCUUCGAGGUGGAGUUCCGCGCCUACCGCCGCUGGAAGCAGCAAGGCGACAACCCCGCGGCGCCUCUCGCCAAAGCAAUUCUGGAAGAGCUGUCGCUGGCUGAGCACAACUACCUCAUUCACGGCUCGACAGCCAUGUACGAGCGCAUGGACCUGACGAACGUCUGCGAGGUCGACUACGCCGCAGAGGACCUCAAUGUGGAAAGCAUCGUGGUGGAGCACACGUCACGCGUGAAGCCGGAGGGGACUGACCUCCUAGUGGACAACACUACAUCGCUCUUCAUCGAGAAUUUCGCGGCGGCACGCCAGCUGAAGGAGAAAGUGGCGACCUACGGCCCCAUCAAGGUGGCAGCGAUGCAGAACCCUAGCAACAACAACUUUAUGCGCAGCGUCACGGCAGCCCGGCGGGCUGCCGGUCGUGGCGGUGGCCACGGAGCGCGUGAUGCACUGCACCUGACUCCAGCUGAGAUGGCGGAGGUGCUGAAGCCGACCUCGAAGCUGACGUUUUUCCGUUCGCGCGGGUCCACGAUUCACUGGAAGCUGCGUCCCAACAGCAGCCUGGAGGAGAACAUUGCCCCGAUGACGGAGGCCCUCUCCUUUUUGCAACAGGUGCUCCACACAGCGAACGAAAUCGAGCGCAAUUCAGCGCGCGGUGGUGCCGCCCCAGACGCACUCUAAGCCGUCAAGCACCAACGGCGUCGUUCUUCCCCUCCCCCUCCCCCUUCCCCUCCCAACAUGCACACGCACACACACACACACACACACACACACGCACGUGCAG